UACGUAGGGACCAAGCGUUGUUCGGAUUUACUGGGCGUAAAGGGCGCGUAGGCGGCAAUUCAAGUCAUCUGUGAAAUCUCCGAGCUUAACUCGGAACGGUCAGAUGAUACUGCUUUGCUAGAGUGCAGAAGGGGCAAUCGGAAUUCUUGGUGUAGCGGUGAAAUGCGUAGAUAUCAAGAGGAACACCUGAGGUGAAGACGGGUUGCUGGGCUGACACUGGCGCUGAGUGCGCGAAAGCCAGGGGAGCAAACGGG
RNAcentral lists this ribosomal RNA (254 nucleotides) under uncultured bacterium. RNAcentral describes it as "partial 16S ribosomal RNA". It matches the Rfam family "Bacterial small subunit ribosomal RNA", at positions 524 to 776 of the family's 1533-position model. The record is from RNAcentral.